Molecule: small nuclear RNA, 110 nt
Organism: Jaculus jaculus (lesser Egyptian jerboa)
Lineage: Eukaryota; Metazoa; Chordata; Mammalia; Rodentia; Dipodidae
Source: Ensembl
AUACUGUUCACUUCAGUAGUACAUUUACUAAAGUUGGAAUGAUACAGAUUAGAUUAACAUGGCCCCUGUUUAGGGAUGGCAAACAAAUUCUUGAAGUGCUCCACAUUUUA